CAUUGUGUUUGUCCGCACUUUCUGAGAAGCAGUGACGAGUUGAGUGUUUCGCUUUGACAGUGUUCGCGAAAUAACGUCUAUCAGGCAGUCUACUUAAGCGCUAUCAAGGAUGCGCUGAUGAAUUGCAGAGAGGAUGAAGUGCCCUAGCUGUGGAAACACAGACUUGCUUCCUAAGUUUAAGUGUUGUCCAGAAUGCGGUUCUCCUCUUUCACAUGCUCAAAAUAUUCCGCGCAAGAUUGAGCGUGGUGAACAUGGAGUCGAAACAACACUACUGCAGCAAAGUGCUGCAUCGACAAGUGAUUACGGUGAUCUUGGACUAGAUAGCAGGUCAAUUCAAGGGAAUAGCCAUCAGCAGAACGUUAAAACCACAGAGAGACAACAACCACAAUCCUUAACUAGCCCACAACCCGGAACUAUAUCACAGCCUAACAAGAACUGUGGUUCUGUUACUCAUCAAGGCGAUGAAACGCCAAAUGAAGAAAGAACUGGGUUAUCGGAAAGAGAACAGCGUCCGGAAUAUGCUUCCUCCAACUCGUCUGAUUCCAUCCUCAGCGGAGCUGUUGACUCGAAAGAGACAGUUGUGACUGGUAGUAUCCGCGGCCCGGAAACACCAACCGAAGAAAGAGCUGAAUCAGCGAUAAACGAUCAGCACCAAGAAGGCACUCCAUCCACCUUGUCUCGUCAAGGUCCUGAGAAAGCUGUGGAAUGCAAAGAAGCAGCUGUGACGAAUACAACCAACGAAACCAAUGGUGAUCAGAAGGAUUUGUCUUGUGCUGCACCAAAUACUCCUUCUCCGCCUCUAGAAGAGCAGAAAGAGCCCAUUGUCAACCAGGACCUUAAUGGCGGUAACACAACAACUGACACUGUUGUGGUGGUUGCUGAAACAGUAAGAGGCCCGGCUGUUCUUGAGGCCGGAGGCGAGUUCCCCAAUCCCCCUGAAGUAGGGAGUACGUAUAGUGCGGGGCAAGAAACAACGUCUCGGGAAUUAUCAGAGAAGGAGGGAAACGCAAGUGAAAGUGCCUCGCGAACAACAAUGGCAUUUACAGAGCCGCAACAAAAAGCACCGGAGACUCAAGUUCUUUUAGGUUCAAGCUCUGAAAUCAAGGAUAGCAAAACAGAUGCUCAAGAUUCGGGUAAAGAAUCGAUAGGUCCAGUCACUAGACAGGCUGCAUUCAGAGGAAACCAGAAUCAGUCCAGUGCUCCACCAUCAUCAGUAUCUGGACAAAAAGCCAAAAUUGUGUCAGAGCAUCCUCUAGGCGGUCCUGGAAAUGGUGACAGUGAUAAAGCAAGUGGAGAGGGUAAUAGCGAUGAAGGUGGAACUUGGUAUAGAAAGAGUGAUACCCCAACAGAAGAAACAUUAGGGGGUCAAAAAGGCGAGAGGAAGAAGGAAGAAAAGAAGAAAAGCAAUGCGGAGCAACAAGCCUCCACAACACUGCCACCUCCAAGCCUCCAACAGGUUAAACCAGAAUUUGGAGUCACUGUGGUGUUCCACGUUUUGCUUGCAUCGAAUUUUAAAAUGACGGAGGAAAGUUUGUUUAUUCGUGCAAAUGGUGUGGAUUUAGGGGACUUUGACCUGAAUUGUGUUGAUAUGAUUGCAGCAGAAAGUGAUGAAAGCCAAGACAAAGACAAACUGACGCUUUUUCGUGGUCAGUUCACAGUAAGUCUUGAUCGGGCUCGCAACGGCACUUUCUACAAAUACGUGGUGGUCAAAAAAGGAAAGGUUCACUGGGAGCAAUUACCCGAGUUUCCACCAAAGUACGGCCAGAAGAGUAUCGUCGACCGGUUUCUUAAAAUCCCCGACAAGCAUAUUAAACAGGGUGCUUCGUGGAAUCAGUUUGACGGAGUGGCGUACGUCUACGGCGACAAAAGCAUGUUUUCCAGAAUGUGGGAUUCAGUCUUCUCUAGGGACAAGACGGUUGAGUAUCGCACAAAGGCGUUGCUAUGUUUCCUACCAAAGUGGAGGGGUUUUCUUGUUAACGAGACAACUGAAAACAUGGAUGCUACAGAGGCGAUAGUGAAACUUUACAAUGUUGUGAAUUGCCUCUCAAACGUUUGGAUACAAGAAAAGGGGCACCAUCGGGAAAUGCAACCCAUUAAUUUUGAUGUGCGAAAGGCAUUAACUGGCCUUUUGAGACCAAAGAUGGAGAAUAACAUUGCCCUCUUGACUGAAUGUAAGGUGGGGUCAACUGCACACGUCUCUGCAGUAGUUUCUUCGCUUGCCAUCAUAGUGCUGAUGAAAAAGUACUCUAUAGCAUUAAAAAGAGAGGAGGUAAAGUUAUUGCUGAGCUGCUUAUCACUUGAAGCUGAUCCAACUGAGAAGAGGUGUUCUGCUUAUGAAGUCGUACUGGCCGAAUUUAGCAACGGGUUAAGAAACUUCGCCGCCAGUGCAAUUGAAAGCCUUUGUAAUCAGUUAAUGAAGGACGCUUGGACAUCCAAUCCUGAAUGGCUUUUGGCUGUACCACUAUUACAUUUCUUACGAGGAGACUCGAAACCCUUUGAAGAGCCUAAGUUCAGAGGAUCGCCUGAAAGCUUGGCUUGGUGGGGAGCCCAGAAGCUCGAUAUAAGAGAUUUUCAACGAUCUACCAAACAGGAUUUUUCGGAUGUGUGGCCUCUUCUGGCGUCAGCCUUUGAAGUUGACCGCUUGUUGAAAAGAACCUUUCUACACGCAGUUCCUGUUUGGCGGCUACGCGAUAUCGUUUCAACAAGAAUGUUCCACGUUGCAGAUCUGUGCGUCGCUUUGAUCGAAUUCUUACCUCGUGGUUUUUUGUACAAGGAAGAGGAAAGUAGUAUCGAGCAGUGUCUUCAAGCCAUGAUCAACCUGUUGGACAAUGGGAAUGAAACAAACAGUUCCAAAGCGGACGUCGUAGAAUUUACAGUUUCUUCAAGUUUGAAGUUGGCCGAGGUUUGCCUAGAAAAGCUUUCUUUUCGAGAAAAUAUUGAUGUCAUCUGUCUGGCAAUCAAGCUGCUAUUCUCAAGCAUUCAACAGUGGCAAAGUGAUCCAUUAGACGGUGAAAACAAUGACAAGGUAAACAAGACUGACGUUGAAAGACUGAAGAAGAACUGCGUACGUGAAAUUUCGGAAAAACUCGUCAGCAAGCUCAAACGGAUAUUUUAUUCCGACAUGCCAGACAAUUACCAGAGUGAUGCCCUUAAAAGGGAACUGCAGCUCUGGAGUGUGCUUUUUAAAGUCUCGGAUGGCACUCAAGGAUUUGAAGAGUACCGAAGAUGUUUAACAGAGCGGUUUGUGUGCCGAACAAAAAGGAUAAGAGAAACCUGCCUCGUUGAGAUUUUUUGUGAAGUUGACCUGGAGAUAUACGACAGAGCCGUUGGGGAAUCCAUCAGCAAACUUGCGUUUGAAGCCGUGGAAAAGAUAAUACAGUCAAGACAGGGUGCAGAUGCUGACCAUGCUUUCAGGUCUUUAAGAAAUUCUAGUCAGCGAGGUGACGCAGGAGCAGUAAAGUACGGCCAACUUUUGUCAAUGUUGCUUACAAAAUCCUGGCCUAAAACAUCUCAGAGCCAGAGAAGGUUUGGCUUGCACCCUUGUACUGUGGAGUUUCUUCUCACCUGGAACCCGAUGGCUGGAUAUUUCCAUUUCUUUGGGGAUGAGUCUGGAAGAGGGAGUAUUUUAACAGAUGAAGGCCAAGAAACGCUGUCAAUGGCUCAGUCAGUACUUACGGCUCUUGUUGAAAGCAUUUCAAAUGCGUCAGUGACGGUUGAAAUCUUAGGUCUUUUACAGAAACACAGAAAGAAAUUCUUGGAACUGUUAUCAAAGAUAACUGUCCCUUUCGCCAAAGAAGGAACUGAGGCGAACACGAGGCAAGAAGGUGAAAAAAUCCUAGAUCAGCGAAUUGGAGAAAUCGAGGAAUUCCAAGCUGUAAAAGAAAAAGUGGCUUCCUUCGUCAACAUGUGUGGUUUGAUUGGGCCAGUCAAUAUUGGCAGUAUUAAGGAAAAAUCGCGUCAAGAUGUCUCCCGUUACCAAAUACGUGAGUUGUGCGAGCAUAAAGAUGACAAGCAAAUCGAGGUCACGUUCUUUAAACUACCCUCGGUGGCUAAAGAAGUUAUUUCGCCACUUCAUCUCUUGCAAAAAAGUUUAACUUUCCAAGAUCUUUGGACACGGUAUGGAAAAAAAGUGCAAGCAGCUAGAAAGAAUGACGAGACUAAGAAACCACAUCUCAGCAUCUCCGAAGUCGUUGAAAAUAUCUGGAAACCAGCUUUUCAAGAUUGGAACCAGCAUGCGGCUAGUACCAUGGACGGAACGAUACCCCUCGGAAAUGUGGACAAGCUCUUUGGCACUUACAAGAACAGGAAAAAAGAGCUUGAACGAGAGCUGUUGAGCAUGUUUGAACUGAGCCAAACUCAACCUGCCAGUAGAGCAAAGGAGCUGCAGACAACAGCUACUGAACGCGCCAAGCAAAUACAGCGGUACCAGCAACUUGGUCAGUAUGCGAGUGCCGCAGACACAAUCUGGAAAUUUAAGGAGUCAAUGGGUUUCACUGGUGACUUCAAAGUUAUCGAUGAUCUGCGUAAUCAGGUUUCUUAAUUUAUGUUUUCCACCUUUUUCAUUCAGACUCUCUGCUUUUUAUCACGCUCAAGAUACGAGAGCGGGUUUCUUUGCCUGGUGUUGGGACGUUUUAUUGUGAAUAUGUUCCUCGUCUUUGCUUUGAAAUAUUAUAUAUAAAAUGUUCUUAUUCGCGUCUUUGAUCUUGUACGUCGGACACAUGCAUUUACGUCCGAAUAUUCCUGUUUUCAUUUUAAUUUAAAUUUUACGAUUUAGUUGGCAAAAGAGUUCAAACAAAAGUCCCUAAACAGCAUUGGAAAGAGGUUUUCUGAGGCUGGUCGUGCACUUGAGUGUUUGGAUAUGGAGAAAGCAAAUUGCUUCAGGGCAGUGGUAAAGAGCAGUCCACUGGUGGAGUGGCUGCGUACUACCAUAAAAUCAACUCAAGAGCUUAAGGUUCUUGUUGACUUGGCCUUGAUCUCAGCUGGUGAAAGCGACAUGGAAACUGCCCGCAUUUCCAGUCUACAUACCAGCUGCCUAGGUUUCGCUCCUUUGAUCUUUGACCUCAGAGAAACUGAAGGACAAAGAGUGAACUUUGACGACCUGGUGAAAGCUUGUGAUCCCGUGUGGAAAGCUGUAGAGACAGAUCACAGUUUACCCCAAAAACUAUGUGACACUAGCAGGCAUCUGGAAUGGCUUAAGACCGUCAAGGAAUCACAUGGUUCGGUUGCUAUGACGUCCU
This 5237-nucleotide unclassified non-coding RNA is filed under the name Orbicella faveolata. Its description in RNAcentral is "e3 ubiquitin-protein ligase rnf213-alpha-like, transcript variant X1". Lineage: Eukaryota; Metazoa; Cnidaria; Anthozoa; Scleractinia; Merulinidae. The record is from RNAcentral.